CUCUCAGAUAAAGUUUUCAUUUUUAUGUGACUUUUUUUUGUUUAUUUUUUGCAGUGUCUGAAACACCUGCCGCCGCUCCUGUGUAUCUAACAGGACUUCUAAUGGAGGUAGAAGAAGCAGAAGAAAUAGUUUGGAAUCAACUAGCACCUUUGGGGGAAGCAGGUGGAAGAAGAAGCAGCAGCUGAGAGUCACCAGCCAAAAACCAUUCAAGC
Molecule: long non-coding RNA, 212 nt
Organism: Arachis stenosperma
Lineage: Eukaryota; Viridiplantae; Streptophyta; Magnoliopsida; Fabales; Fabaceae
Exons: 3
Source: RefSeq, a predicted model, not a curated record